UACGAAGGGGGCUAGCGUCGCUCGGAUUUACUGGGCGUAAAGGGCGCGUAGGCGGACAUUUAAGUCAGGGGUGAAGUCCCGGGGCUCAACCUCGGAACUGCCUUUGAUACUGGGUGUCUUGAGUAUGAGAGAGGUAUGUGGAACUCCGAGUGUGGAGGUGAAAUUCGUAGAUAUUCGGAAGAACACCAGUGGCGAAGGCGACAUACUGGCUCAUUACUGACGCUGAGGCGCGAAAGCGUGGGGAGCAAAAGGG
RNAcentral lists this ribosomal RNA (253 nucleotides) under uncultured bacterium. RNAcentral's name for it is "partial 16S ribosomal RNA". It matches the Rfam family "Bacterial small subunit ribosomal RNA", at positions 524 to 776 of the family's 1533-position model. The record is from RNAcentral.